CAGUCGCCGCGGUAAUACGAAGGGGGCUAGCGUUGUUCGGAAUUACUGGGCGUAAAGGGCGCGUAGGCGGCCAUUCAAGUUAGAUGUGAAAGCCCUGGGCUCAACCUGGGAAUUGCAUUUGAUACUGUUUGGCUUGAGUUCGGGAGAGGUGAGUGGAAUUCCCAGUGUAGAGGUGAAAUUCGUAGAUAUUGGGAAGAACACCAGUGGCGAAGGCGGCUCACUGGACCGACACUGACGCUGAGGCGCGAAAGCGUGGGGAGCAAACAGGAUUAGAUACCCCUGUAGUCCCUGUCUCUUAUAC
Molecule: ribosomal RNA, 301 nt
Filed under: uncultured bacterium
Lineage: Bacteria
Description: partial 16S ribosomal RNA
Rfam family: Bacterial small subunit ribosomal RNA
Source: RNAcentral